GUCCUUACCUGGCAGUGGAGGCACCAUGAUCAAGAGGGUGCUUUUCCCAGGUCAAGGCUUCUCUGUUGCUCUGGGGAUGUGCUGACUCCUAAUAUAUUCCUAAAUGUAGGAAACUUGACUGCACACUUCAUGGUAGCAUGGGACGGUGCUCAUACUCUCCCUUU
Small nuclear RNA from Acomys russatus (golden spiny mouse), 164 nucleotides. RefSeq annotates it as U1 spliceosomal RNA. The record is from RefSeq and is a predicted model, not a curated record. Lineage: Eukaryota; Metazoa; Chordata; Mammalia; Rodentia; Muridae. The transcript has a single exon.